This 290-nucleotide long non-coding RNA is filed under the name Phoenix dactylifera (date palm). RNAcentral describes it as "long non-coding RNA (PDAC_LNC009102)". The record is from RNAcentral. Lineage: Eukaryota; Viridiplantae; Streptophyta; Magnoliopsida; Arecales; Arecaceae.
GAUGAGGUGGCUAGCUGAUGUUGAUGUGGAUGCCGAGGUGGUGCUCCAAGGGUGUGCAAAGGUGGUGGUAGAAACCUGACUUGGCUUUCUUUCUGACUCAAUGAUUUUAUUUACAGGACUCGAUCAAAUUUAAGUUAGCCACAGUGACCUUGAGUUAAUUGAUUGGAAUCUUUUUCGGAUUCUGGUGCCCGCACCACUAGCAUUUGUACUCAUUGGCCCACAUACAUCAGAAUGUACAAGGGUCAAUAAAUCACUAGCUCGUUCACCUUUUCCGGUAAAAGGUGAUUUGG